CAGUCGCCGCGGGAAAACGUAGGUGGCAAGCGUUGUCCGGAAUUAUUGGGCGUAAAGGGCUCGCAGGCGGUUUCUUAAGUCUGAUGUGAAAGCCCCCGGCUCAACCGGUGAGGGUCAUUGGAAACUGGGAAACUUGAGUGCAGAAGAGGAGAGUGGAACUCCACGUGUAGCGGUGAAAUGCGUAGAGAUGUGGAGGAACACCAGCGGCGAAGGCGACUCUCUGGUCUGUAACUGACGCUGAGGAGCGAAAGCGUGGGGAGCGAACAGGAUUAGAUACCCCUGUAGUCCCUGUCUCUUAUAC
This 301-nucleotide ribosomal RNA is filed under the name uncultured bacterium. RNAcentral's name for it is "partial 16S ribosomal RNA". It matches the Rfam family "Bacterial small subunit ribosomal RNA", at positions 509 to 807 of the family's 1533-position model. The record is from RNAcentral.